This 774-nucleotide ribosomal RNA is filed under the name uncultured Achromobacter sp. Its description in RNAcentral is "bacterial SSU rRNA". It matches the Rfam family "Bacterial small subunit ribosomal RNA", at positions 773 to 1533 of the family's 1533-position model. The record is from RNAcentral. Lineage: Bacteria; Pseudomonadati; Pseudomonadota; Betaproteobacteria; Burkholderiales; Alcaligenaceae.
UUGGAUUAGAUACCCUGGUAGUCCACGCCCUAAACGAUGUCAACUAGCUGUUGGGGCCUUCGGGCCUUGGUAGCGCAGCUAACGCGUGAAGUUGACCGCCUGGGGAGUACGGUCGCAAGAUUAAAACUCAAAGGAAUUGACGGGGACCCGCACAAGCGGUGGAUGAUGUGGAUUAAUUCGAUGCAACGCGAAAAACCUUACCUACCCUUGACAUGUCUGGAAUUCCGAAGAGAUUUGGAAGUGCUCGCAAGAGAACCGGAACACAGGUGCUGCAUGGCUGUCGUCAGCUCGUGUCGUGAGAUGUUGGGUUAAGUCCCGCAACGAGCGCAACCCUUGUCAUUAGUUGCUACGAAAGGGCACUCUAAUGAGACUGCCGGUGACAAACCGGAGGAAGGUGGGGAUGACGUCAAGUCCUCAUGGCCCUUAUGGGUAGGGCUUCACACGUCAUACAAUGGUCGGGACAGAGGGUCGCCAACCCGCGAGGGGGAGCCAAUCCCAGAAAGCCGUCUCAGUUCGGAUUGCACUCUGCAACUCGAGUGCAUGAAGUUGGAAUCGCUAGUAAUCGUGGAUCAGCACGCCACGGUGAAUACGUUCCCGGGCCUUGUACACACCGCCCGUCACACCAUGGGAGUUGGUUCUACCCGAAGGCGUUGCGCUAACCUGGCAACAGGAGGCAGGCGACCACGGUAGGGUCAGCGACUGGGGUGAAGUCGUAACAAGGUAGCCGUAAAUCACUAGUGAAUUCGCGGCCGCCUGCAGGUCGACCAUAUGGGA